CAUUGAUUUUGCAGGAUGAAAGCUGUUAUUAUGGGAUUUCCAACUGCAAGCAAGAACAACCUGGAGACACUUUGACAGUUCAGACCACAAUUAUACCUAUAGCUGCCACUGGUCUUUUCUAUAAUU
RNAcentral lists this small nucleolar RNA (126 nucleotides) under Castor canadensis (American beaver). RNAcentral describes it as "Small nucleolar RNA SNORA44 (ENSCCNG00000017608.1)". It matches the Rfam family "Small nucleolar RNA SNORA44". From Rfam's summary of the family: ACA44 is a member of the H/ACA class of snoRNA that guide the sites of modification of uridines to pseudouridines. The record is from Rfam by way of RNAcentral. Lineage: Eukaryota; Metazoa; Chordata; Mammalia; Rodentia; Castoridae.